UACAUAGGGGGCGAGCGUUAUCCGGAUUUAUUGGGUUUAAAGGGUGCGUAGGCGGACUUAUAAGUCAGCGGUGAAAGUUUGCAGCUUAACUGUAAAAUUGCCGUUGAAACUGUUAGUCUUGAGUGUAAAUGAGGUAGGCGGAAUGUGUUGUGUAGCGGUGAAAUGCUUAGAUAUAACAUAGAACACCAAUUGCGAAGGCAGCUUACUGGGAUACAACUGACGCUGAGGCACGAAAGCGUGGGGAUCAAACAGG
Molecule: ribosomal RNA, 253 nt
Filed under: uncultured bacterium
Lineage: Bacteria
Description: partial 16S ribosomal RNA
Rfam family: Bacterial small subunit ribosomal RNA
Source: RNAcentral